This 1538-nucleotide unclassified non-coding RNA is filed under the name Hevea brasiliensis (rubber tree). Lineage: Eukaryota; Viridiplantae; Streptophyta; Magnoliopsida; Malpighiales; Euphorbiaceae. The record is from RNAcentral.
CGCGAUGUAAUGUAAGGCGAAAAAAAGUAAAUAAUGAAAUGAUGGGCCAUGUUCUGAAACCUAAAUCAAUUAACAGAAAAUGUAAGAAGAAGAAAGCUCUAGAGAUCAAAUAGAAUAGAGGAUCUCUCCUCGUACUGUAAACGCAACUCAACUACACAGCCACACAGGUAUGGCUGAUCGUUACUUCCCUAACGAAAUGCCACCCUAUCUACCAGAAACUACAACAGCAGCUUCGGACGAAGCUGUCACCGAAACAAGCAAAGACUCCCUCGCGAAACUCCUUUCUCUUCCCUACUAUACGCUUUCUGAGAGACUCAAAACAUCAGCCUUGGAGCUCAAACGCAUGGUGGUGAUGGAGACAUGGGGAUUGAGUGGCAAGCGCGUGCAUGACUAUACUAUUUACACGGGAGCACUAGGGACUGCUUACUUGCUCUUUAAAGCUUACCAGGCUACCAACAAUGAAAAUGAUCUUAAAUUGUGCUCUGAAAUUGUCAAGGCUUGUGAUUCUGCUUCUAGAGAUUCUGGGCGUGUGACAUUUAUAUGCGGGCAUGCUGGUGUUUGUGCUCUUGGUGCUGUUGUUGCAAAGCAUGCUGGUGAUGAAAGGCUACUAGAUCGCUACUUAACACAGUUUAAAGAGAAGAUCAAACUUCCUAGUGAUUUGCCAUAUGAGUUGUUGUACGGGAGAGCAGGGUUCUUGUGGGCCUGUUCAUUUCUCAACAAGCAUAUUGGUAAAGAAACCAUAUCUACUGCCCGCAGAAGAGCAGUUGUGGAGGAAAUAAUUAAGGCUGGGAAAAGAUUGGCACACAGAGACAAAUGCCCAUUGAUGUAUGAAUGGCAUGGAAAAAAGUACUGGGGUGCUGCCCAUGGAUUGGCUGGGAUCAUGCAUGUUUUGAUGGACAUGGAACUGAAACCGAAUGAAAUAGAGGAUGUCAAGGGUACACUACGCUACAUAAUUAAAAACCGUUUUCCCAGUGGUAAUUAUCCUUCAAGUGAAGGAAGUGAAUCCGAUCGUCUCGUGCAUUGGUGUCAUGGUGCUCCUGGGGUUGCUCUUACCCUUGUGAAAGCGGCUGAGGUUUUUGGAGACCAUGAGUUUUUGCAAGCUGCUCUCGAUGCAGGGGAGGUGGUUUGGAACCGGGGUCUCCUCAAGCGAGUUGGCAUGUGUCAUGGCAUCAGUGGAAAUACCUACGUUUUUCUGUCACUAUACCGGUUAACUGGUAAUGUGGAGUAUUUAUACAGAGCUAGAGCAUUUGCAUGCUUUCUACAUGAUAGAGCACAAAAACUUAUAUCAGAGGGGAAGAUGCAUGGAGGUGAUCGCCCCUAUUCCCUGUUUGAGGGUGUUGGAGGAAUGGCUUAUCUAUUUUUUGACAUGAUUGAACCAUCUGAAGCCAGGUUUCCUGCUUAUGAACUUUAAUCCUGCAACUCAAUAGUUAAUGAGAAAGUAGAUGUGAAUAUUCCUUUAGUUUAUGAAACUUGAUGCUGUUUGUAUAAAUUUUCAAAGAUUUAGCUUCUUGAAAAUUUUGCUCUAGCAUUUUAAUUUA